ACGAACGCUGGCGGCGUGCUUAACACAUGCCAGUCGAACGGAAAGGCCCCUUUGGGGGUACUCGAGUGGCGAACGGGUGAGUAACACGUGAGUAACCUGCCCUUGACUUCGGGAUAACUUCAGGAAACUGGGGCUAAUACCGGAUAGGAAUCCUUGCUGCAUGGUGGGGGUUGGAAAGCUUCGGCGGUUUUGGAUGGACUCGCGGCUUAUCAGCUUGUUGGUGGGGUAGUGGCUUACCAAGGCUUUGACGGGUAGCCGGCCUGAGAGGGCGACCGGCCUCAUUGGGACUGAGAUACGGCCCAGACUCCUACGGGAGGCAGCAGUGGGGAAUAUUGCACAAUGGGCGGAAGCCUGAUGCAGCAACGCCGCGUGCGGGAUGACGGCCUUCGGGUUGUAAACCGCUUUCAGCAGGGGCGAAGCUUGUGGUGACGGUACCUGCAGAAGAAGCACCGGCUAACUACGUG
This 464-nucleotide ribosomal RNA is filed under the name uncultured bacterium. RNAcentral describes it as "partial 16S ribosomal RNA". It matches the Rfam family "Bacterial small subunit ribosomal RNA", at positions 29 to 507 of the family's 1533-position model. The record is from RNAcentral.